GACGAACGCUGGCGGCGUGCUUAACACAUGCAAGUCGAACGGAAAGGCCCUGCUUUUGUGGGGUGCUCGAGUGGCGAACGGGUGAGUAACACGUGAGUAACCUGCCCUUGACUUUGGGAUAACUUCAGGAAACUGGGGCUAAUACCGGAUAGGAGCUCCUGCUGCAUGGUGGGGGUUGGAAAGUUUCGGCGGUUGGGGAUGGACUCGCGGCUUAUCAGCUUGUUGGUGGGGUAGUGGCUUACCCAGGCUUUGACGGGUAGCCGGCCUGAGAGGGUGACCGGCCGCAUUGGGACUGAGAGACGGCACAGACUGCUACGGGAGGAAGCAGGGGGGAAUAUUGCACAAUGGGCGGAAGCCGGAUGCAGCAACGCCGCGUGCGGGAUGACGGCCUUCGGGGUGUAAACCGCUUUCGCCUGUGACGAAGCGUGAGUGACGGUAAUGGGUAAAGAAGCACCGGCUAACUACGUG
RNAcentral lists this ribosomal RNA (468 nucleotides) under uncultured bacterium. RNAcentral describes it as "partial 16S ribosomal RNA". It matches the Rfam family "Bacterial small subunit ribosomal RNA", at positions 28 to 507 of the family's 1533-position model. The record is from RNAcentral.